CUCCGCUGUCCUGGCGUCGUGAGGGAGUUUGUUCCACCAUUGGGGAGCCAGAGCAGCGAACAGUUUUGACUGGGCUGAGUUUUGUCAUUGUGGGUUAUUGUCUAUGUGUAGUGUUUGUGUCAGCACGAUUGUUCAUUAGUGUCACGGUUGUUGUUUUGUAGUGUUCAGCUUUCCCAUUAAAAUGACGAACACCUACCAUGCCGCAUCUUGGUCCUCCUCUCUAUCUCCAAAUGACAACUGUGACAUCGGUCUUUUCUUCACGCAAAUGAUGGGGAUCUGGGCCUGUUCCCGGGAGAGCGGUACAUCUUUCUCGCCAGACUCGUUAAAGGUGUAAGGGCCGUCCCGUGCCAGCAGGGACCUGGCUGCCAUAGAAUUGACCUGGAUGGAUGUACCUAGCGACAAGCUGCUGAUGCCCAUUAUCUGCGUGUCUGACCUGCUGCGCUCACUAUCCUUCAGGAGACCCACAGUCAACAUGGAGGACUUGUUCAAGGUCAUGAAGUUCAUUGAGGACUUUGAACAGGAAGGCUGAGAGGUUUCACUAUCAUGUCUCUCCUCUAAACCCCCGUUCGUACAACCUUUUGUCAAAAAGUUGCUACAGUAUUACAACGUUAAACUCUGACUUGUUCGACUAAUCUACAUUGGCAAGAAUGAUGGAUUUAAAAAAAAAUGAUAUUCUUUCCCUACGCUAUUUUAUUGCCAUCCUACACUUUUACAGUGAGUACAGAGCUCAUCAUUCAGUGGGGAAGGUGUUUGCAUUUGAAUUUGUUUCUGUAUUUUUCAUAAUUUGUCAGUUUUCUUUUUCUGGUUUUGAACAUUGAAAAUAAUAGUUCCACGACAGACAUUAUCAUUGGGGUGGCAGGUAGCCUAGUGGUUAGAGCAUUGGCCCAGGGGGCCUGGGAAUCGAACUCGCAACCCUUGCGGUGCAAUCGCCAUCCUUUACAGGACCACACAUUUAUAAUGUAAUGCUUGUUAAUAACAGUCAAUAAGUGAUAACGGUAUAUAGUAGUGUAAUUGUUUACAACAAUGUACAGCACAUCUACCAAUGCACAGAUGCGUUUGAAGAGCCUAUUUUGUUUUCAAAAUCAUCAGACCCCUAACUGGGAGCAGCCUGGGGGACAUCAACGGAAUGGAAAUUAAACUAUUUCAGAUAAUUAAAUAUCAAUGUAUUUAUAUGUAACAU
Oncorhynchus gorbuscha (pink salmon) is the source of this 1180-nucleotide long non-coding RNA. RefSeq lists it as uncharacterized. Lineage: Eukaryota; Metazoa; Chordata; Actinopteri; Salmoniformes; Salmonidae. The transcript has 3 exons. The record is from RefSeq and is a predicted model, not a curated record.